ACCCAAUAGAUACCCGGGUAGUCCACGCCGUAAACGAUGAGAACUAGGUGUCGCGGGUGUUGACCCCUGCGGUGCCGUAGCUAAACGCAUUAAGUUCUCCGCCUGGGAAGUACGGCCGCAAGGUUAAAACUCAAAGGAAUUGACGGGGCCCGGCACAAGCGGUGGAGCAUGUGGUUUAAUUCGACGCAACGCGCAGAACCUUACCCAGACUUGACAUCCUGGAAAGUUGGCCCAAAAGCUGACGUGCCCGCAAGGGAAUCCAGAGACAGGUGCUGCAUGGCUGUCGUCAGCUCGUGUCGUGAGAUGUUGGGUUAAGUCCCGCAACGAGCGCAACCCUCGCCUUUAGUUGCUCCGCAAGGAGAUCUCUAGAGGGACCGCCAGUGAUAAGCUGGAGGAAGGUGGGGAUGACGUCAAGUCCUCAUGGCCUUUAUGUCUGGGGCUACACACGUGCUACAAUGGCGAGUACAAAGCGUUGCCAACCC
This 482-nucleotide ribosomal RNA is filed under the name uncultured bacterium. RNAcentral describes it as "bacterial SSU rRNA". It matches the Rfam family "Bacterial small subunit ribosomal RNA", at positions 772 to 1256 of the family's 1533-position model. The record is from RNAcentral.